This 91-nucleotide ribosomal RNA is filed under the name Brucella intermedia. Lineage: Bacteria; Pseudomonadati; Pseudomonadota; Alphaproteobacteria; Hyphomicrobiales; Brucellaceae. The record is from RNAcentral. RNAcentral also lists the same sequence under 1 other name.
GCACCCGAUCCCAUUCCGAACUCGGCCGUGAAACGCUCCAGCGCCAAUGGUACUUCAUCUUAAGAUGCGGGAGAGUAGGUCGCUGCCAGGU